Molecule: non-coding RNA, 731 nt
Organism: Phascolarctos cinereus (koala)
Lineage: Eukaryota; Metazoa; Chordata; Mammalia; Diprotodontia; Phascolarctidae
Source: RefSeq, a predicted model, not a curated record
UUGGCCUCUGGGGCCUGUUUAUUUGUGUGUGAAUGUGUGUGGGAGAGGACAGCUUCCCCAAGAACUCUGAGGUAGAGUGCCAUUCUCUUGGAGAAGAGGUCAUGGUACAGAGACUCACAGUAUAGUGGAUGGAGUACUGAAUUUGGAAUCAGAAAGGAUGAGCUUUGAAUCCUAGCUCAGACGCUUAUUAGUUAUGUGACCCUGGUUGCAGUUUCUACGAAAGAGAAGUCUGCAUCUUGCACGCUCUGGAGAGUCUUUGUAGCUGGUGGUGUAGCUACAGCAACUGCUUCAUGGAUUUCCUUCUCUUAUGAAAUAUGCAAGAUACAGUGGUCACUGUGGAAGAAAACCAAGGGACUGAGUCUGGACCAGAGAGUGACAAAGAGGAGAUGUUCCCAAAGAGAGGGAAGGAGGAGUAAUAAAAGGAGAUGGGGGGAAGCAAAUGCUUAUUAAAUGAAAAAAUAAUUUUAAAAAAGAAUCUCAGACCAACCCUUCCCCAAGUAUCACCUCUACAAUAUCCGUGAUGAGUGAUCAUCCACCUUCUACCGGGAGACCUCCAGUGAUAGGGCAGCUCUAAAUACAAGACAAUUUUCCUUAUAUUAACCUUCAAUUUGCUUCUCUGUGACUCCUACCCAUUGCUUCUGAUUCUGUUCUCUGGGACUAAGUCUGCUCUCUCCUCUUAAGUGACAAGCCUUCAAAUAUUUGAAAACAAUGAUCAUCCCCCACCUCAAUAA